Molecule: ribosomal RNA, 253 nt
Filed under: uncultured bacterium
Lineage: Bacteria
Description: partial 16S ribosomal RNA
Rfam family: Bacterial small subunit ribosomal RNA
Source: RNAcentral
UACGUAGGGACCAAGCGUUGUUCGGAUUUACUGGGCGUAAAGGGCGCGUAGGCGGCAAAUCAAGUCAGCUGUGAAAUCUCCGAGCUUAACUCGGAACGGUCAGCUGAUACUGUUUUGCUAGAGUACGGAAGGGGCAAUCGGAAUUCUUGGUGUAGCGGUGAAAUGCGUAGAUAUCAAGAGGAACACCUGAGGUGAAGACGGGUUGCUGGGCUGAUACUGACGCUGAGGCGCGAAAGCUAGGGUAGCAAACGGG